This 460-nucleotide ribosomal RNA is filed under the name uncultured bacterium. RNAcentral's name for it is "partial 16S ribosomal RNA". It matches the Rfam family "Bacterial small subunit ribosomal RNA", at positions 338 to 795 of the family's 1533-position model. The record is from RNAcentral.
CCUACGGGUGGCAGCAGUGAGGAAUAUUGGUCAAUGGACGAGAGUCUGAACCAGCCAAGUAGCGUGAAGGAUGACUGCCCUAUGGGUUGUAAACUUCUUUUAUAUGGGAAUAAAAUGUUCCACGUGUGGGAUUUUGUAUGUACCAUAUGAAUAAGGAUCGACUAACUCCGUGCCAGCAGCCGCGGUAAUACGGAGGAUCCGAGCGUUAUCCGGAUUUAUUGGGUUUAAAGGGAGCGUAGGUGGAUUGUUAAGUCAGUUGUGAAAGUUUGCGGCUCAACCGUAAAAUUGCAGUUGAAACUGGCAGUCUUGAGUACAGUAGAGGUGGGCGGAAGUCGUGGUGUAGCGGUGAAAUGCUUAGAUAUCACGAAGAACUCCGAUUGCGAAGGCAGUUCACUGGACUGCAACUGACACUGAGGCUCGAAAGUGUGGGUAUCAAACAGGAUUAGAUACCCGAGUAGUC